GGAGCGGUAUUUCAGUCGGUUAGUGUACCUGCCUGUCACGUAGGGGGUCGCGAGUUCGAGUGCCGUCCGUUCCGCCA
Molecule: transfer RNA, 77 nt
Filed under: Escherichia coli
Lineage: Bacteria; Pseudomonadati; Pseudomonadota; Gammaproteobacteria; Enterobacterales; Enterobacteriaceae
Description: tRNA-Asp
Source: RNAcentral